Molecule: ribosomal RNA, 414 nt
Filed under: uncultured Ehrlichia sp.
Lineage: Bacteria; Pseudomonadati; Pseudomonadota; Alphaproteobacteria; Rickettsiales; Anaplasmataceae
Description: bacterial SSU rRNA
Rfam family: Bacterial small subunit ribosomal RNA
Source: RNAcentral
UCAAUUGCUUUUAACCUUUUGGUUAUAAAUAAUUGUUAGUGGCAGACGGGUGAGUAAUGCGUAGGAUUCUACCUAGUAGUAUGGAAUAGCCAUUAGAAAUGAUGGGUAAUACUGUAUAAUCCCUGCGGGGGAAAGAUUUAUCGCUAUUAGAUGAGCCUACGUUAGAUUAGCUAGUUGGUAAGGUAAUGGCUUACCAAGGCUAUGAUCUAUAGCUGGUCUGAGAGGACGAUCAGCCACACUGGAACUGAGAUACGGUCCAGACUCCUACGGGAGGCAGCAGUGGGGAAUAUUGGACAAAUGGGCGAAAGCCCUGAUCCAGCUAUGCCGCGUGAGUGAAGAAGGCCUUCGGGUUGUAAAACUCUUUCAAUAGGGAAGAUAAUGACGGUACCUAUAGAAGAAGUCCGGGCAAAGUCA